RNAcentral lists this ribosomal RNA (280 nucleotides) under uncultured bacterium. Its description in RNAcentral is "partial 16S ribosomal RNA". It matches the Rfam family "Bacterial small subunit ribosomal RNA", at positions 1007 to 1288 of the family's 1533-position model. The record is from RNAcentral.
GAGUCCGUCUGAGAAAUCAGACCCAAAACAAGGUGCUGCAUGGCUGUCGUCAGCUCGUGUCGUGAGAUGUUGGGUUAAGUCCCGCAACGAGCGCAACCCUUAUCAACAGUUGCCAUCAUUAAGUUGGGAACUCUGUUGAGACUGCCGUUGAUAAAACGGAGGAAGGUGGGGAUGAUGUCAAGUCAUCAUGGCCUUUAUGUUCAGGGCUACACACGUGCUACAAUGGCCGGUACAAAACGUCGCAAUCCCGCAAGGGGGAGCUAAUCGCAAAAACCGGUCU